CACUCCUGCGGGAGGCAGCAGUGGGGAAUUUUGGACAAUGGGCGAAAGCCUGAUCCAGCAAUGCCGCGUGAGUGAAGAAGGCCUUCGGGUUGUAAAGCUCUUUUGUCAGGGAAGAAACGGUGAGAGCUAAUAUCUUUUGCUAAUGACGGUACCUGAAGAAUAAGCACCGGCUAACUACGUGCCAGCAGCCGCGGUAAUACGUAGGGUGCAAGCGUUAAUCGGAAUUACUGGGCGUAAAGCGUGCGCAGGCGGUUUUGUAAGUCUGAUGUGAAAUCCCCGGGCUCAACCUGGGAAUUGCAUUGGAGACUGCAAGGCUAGAAUCUGGCAGAGGGGGGUAGAAUUCCACGUGUAGCAGUGAAAUGCGUAGAUAUGUGGAGGAACACCGAUGGCGAAGGCAGCCCCCUGGGUCAAGAUUGACGCUCAUGCACGAAAGCGUGGGGAGCAAACAGGAUUAGAAACCCGAGUAGUCCCAUGA
This 475-nucleotide ribosomal RNA is filed under the name uncultured organism. RNAcentral's name for it is "partial 16S ribosomal RNA". It matches the Rfam family "Bacterial small subunit ribosomal RNA", at positions 334 to 800 of the family's 1533-position model. The record is from RNAcentral.